GGUCGUCCGGCGCGAGGUGGCGUGCCACGUUUGCGACGCGUUGACGGACCAUCGGGUCGGGGUCGUUUGCUAGUUCGGUGGCCAGCGAAGCCCA
Molecule: transfer RNA, 94 nt
Filed under: Actinoplanes siamensis
Lineage: Bacteria; Bacillati; Actinomycetota; Actinomycetes; Micromonosporales; Micromonosporaceae
Description: tRNA-Arg
Source: RNAcentral